CCUACGGGCGGCAGCAGUGGGGAAUAUUGCGCAAUGGGCGAAAGCCUGACGCAGCGACGCCGCGUGAGGGAUGAAGGUCUUCGGAUCGUAAACCUCUGUCAGCAGGGAAGAACGGUCACUGUGCUAAUCAGCAGUGAAUUGACGGUACCUGCAAAGGAAGCACCGGCUAACUCCGGGCCAGCAGCCGCGGUAAUACGGAGGGUGCGAGCGUUAGUCGGAAUUACUGGGCGUAAAGCGCUCGUAGGCGGUAUGUCAAGUCAAGGGUGAAAUCCCCGCGCUCAACGUGGGAACUGCCUUUGAAACUGGCAAACUGGGGUGUGUGAGAGGAUAGAGGAAUUCCAGGUGUAGGAGUGAAAUCCGUAGAUAUCUGGAGGAACAUCAGUGGCGAAGGCGACUAUCUGGCACAUAACUGACGCUGAGGAGCGAAAGCGUGGGUAGCAAACAGGAUUAGAUACCCCUGUAGUC
RNAcentral lists this ribosomal RNA (465 nucleotides) under uncultured bacterium. RNAcentral describes it as "partial 16S ribosomal RNA". It matches the Rfam family "Bacterial small subunit ribosomal RNA", at positions 338 to 795 of the family's 1533-position model. The record is from RNAcentral.